ACCCAAACUCAACAUCUCCUCCACACGCAUCCACCCCACUCUCUUCGUAGGUCUAGUGAAUCGCGAUGUUCUUUCUAUCUAUCUGUUCUCUUCGUUCUACAAACUGUUGGUUCUUGUCUUCUUGAGUAGCCAUUCCUUGCGGAUGCAGAUCCCAGGUAGAAUCAGUUCGGUAGCUUCUUCUGUUCACUGGCCAUCAUUUCCUUUGAUUUCUUCUGUUUCUUAGAGUCUGUCCCAUCUUCUGGAUCUGAGUUGGAAGCUUCCAUCUACCUAGCCAUGGUAUUUUAUGCAACAUAUACGGCGUGGAUCGGAACUGCCCAAGGGAACGAGUGAAGCUGCCAGCAUGAUCUAGCUCUGAGUGAUCACCCGAAAAAGAACAAUAGUUCUAGGUGGUCAUGCCUUGCUAGGUCAUGCUGCUGCAGCCUCACUUCUUCCCGUCGUUGGGCAUAACAUGGUGGCUGUGUUAGCUUGGUAAAGCAGGUAGUACCAACAACUUCCAUAUACUUUUGAAAGUUCAAUUC
RNAcentral lists this precursor RNA (518 nucleotides) under Zea mays. Its description in RNAcentral is "precursor miRNA zma-miR167d". The stretch from base 315 to 436 matches the Rfam family "MIR167 microRNA precursor family". The record is from RNAcentral. Lineage: Eukaryota; Viridiplantae; Streptophyta; Magnoliopsida; Poales; Poaceae.